UGCUUAACACAUGCAAGUCGAACGGACUCAGCCGGUGGUAACACCGGCGAAAGUUAGUGGCGAACGGGUGCGUAACACGUGAGCAACCUGCCCUAGAGACUGGGAUAACACCGGGAAACCGGUGCUAAUACCGGAUACCCCCAUCCCACCGCAUGGUGGAAUGAGGAAAUGUUUUUUCGCUCUUGGAGGGGCUCGAGGCCUAUCAGCUUGUUGGUGAGGUAACGGCUCACCAAGGCUUCGACGGGUAGCUGGUCUGAGAGGACGACCAGCCACACUGGGACUGAGACACGGCCCAGACUCCUACGGGAGGCAGCAGUGGGGAAUAUUGCGCAAUGGGCGAAAGCCUGACGCAGCAACGCCGCGUGGAGGACGAAGGCUCUCGGGUUGUAAACUCC
Molecule: ribosomal RNA, 395 nt
Filed under: uncultured organism
Description: bacterial SSU rRNA
Rfam family: Bacterial small subunit ribosomal RNA
Source: RNAcentral